CUCGUAGGCGGCCAACUAAGUCGGACGUGAAAUCCCUCAGCUUAACUGGGGAACUGCGUCCGAUACUGGAUGGCUUGGAUUCGGGAGAGGAAUGCGGAAUUCCAGGUGUAGCGGUGAAAUGCGUAGAUAUCUGGAGGAACACCGGUGGCGAAGGCGGCAUUCUGGACCGACAUUGACGCUGAGGAGCGAAAGCCAGGGAGCAAACG
This 206-nucleotide ribosomal RNA is filed under the name uncultured bacterium. RNAcentral describes it as "partial 16S ribosomal RNA". It matches the Rfam family "Bacterial small subunit ribosomal RNA", at positions 568 to 774 of the family's 1533-position model. The record is from RNAcentral.